Molecule: ribosomal RNA, 519 nt
Filed under: uncultured Blastocystis sp.
Lineage: Eukaryota; Bigyra; Opalinata; Blastocystidae
Description: SSU rRNA
Rfam family: Eukaryotic small subunit ribosomal RNA
Source: RNAcentral
GGAGGUAGUGACAAUAAAUCACAAUGCGGAACAAUGUUUUGCAAUUGGAUUGAGAACAACGUACAAACCUUAUCGAUAAACAAUUGGAGGGCAAGUCUGGUGCCAGCAGCCGCGGUAAUUCCAGCUCCAAUAGCGUAUAUUAACGUUGUUGCAGUUAAAAAGCUCGUAGUUGAAAUGAAGGGUAGUUGUGUAAUGAAUACAUUCGUGUAUUUUGUUAUUCAACUACCCUCCUUCUAAAUUCGAUAUAUGAGUAUUAAUUUACUUGUAUAUGGUUUUAGACCUUUACUGUGAGAAAAUUAGAGUGUUCAAAGCAGGCAUUUGCUUGAAUAUAUUAGCAUGGAAUAAUCAUGUAUGAUUUUCAUGAUGUAUUUGAUUGGUUUGGUUCAUGAGAAUAAGAUUAAAAGGGACAGUUGGGGGUAUUCAUAUUCAAUAGUCAGAGGUGAAAUUCUCGGAUUUAUGGAAGAUGAACAAGUGCGAAAGCAUUUACCAAGGAUGUUUUCAUUAAUCAAGAACGAAAGU